RNAcentral lists this ribosomal RNA (505 nucleotides) under uncultured bacterium. Its description in RNAcentral is "partial 16S ribosomal RNA". It matches the Rfam family "Bacterial small subunit ribosomal RNA", at positions 28 to 507 of the family's 1533-position model. The record is from RNAcentral.
GACGAACGCUGGCGGCGUGCCUAAUACAUGCAAGUAGAACGCACAGUUUAUACCGUAGCUUGCUACACCAUAGACUGUGAGUUGCGAACGGGUGAGUAACGCGUAGGUAACCUGCCUGGUAGCGGGGGAUAACUAUUGGAAACGAUAGCUAAUACCGCAUAAUAUUAAUUAUUGCAUGAUAAUUAAUUGAAAGGUGCAAUUGCACCACUACCAGAUGGACCUGCGUUGUAUUAGCUAGUAGGUGAGGUAACGGCUCACCUAGGCGACGAUACAUAGCCGACCUGGGAGGGUGAUCGGCCACACUGGGACUGAGACACGGCCCAGACUCCUACGGGAGGAAGCAGUAGGGAAUCUUCGGCAAUGGACGAAAGUCUGACCGAGCAACGCCGCGUGAGUGAAGAAGGUUUUCGGAUCGUAAAGCUCUGUUGUAAGAGAAGAACGGGUGUGAGAGUGGAAAGUUCACACUGUGACGGUAUCUGACCAGAAAGGGACGGCUAACUACGUG